CUGGGAUUUCCGUCACUCAGGGAGUCACCAGGCUUGGCAAGGAGGCUGGAGGUCCUCUUCCCAGACUGGACUCUUCUUACCGACUGAGUGAGCAUCGUCUGCCUCCCUGAGGGCAAGGAGGAGAAGAGGCCAGGACUGUUAGUUACAAGGGCCCAGGAGGGUCCUGCUACCGGCCUCUUAAGAUGCAGGGAAGCAGACAUGGAUCAUCGGAUGCUGGUGAGCAGCCGGUGGGCCAGGCCCCUACGUUAUGAUCUGGGCCUGUCCUUCUCAGCAGAAUGGAGCCUUAUUUUCCUCAUCUGUAAAAUGGAGAUAUUAGUUCCCACCUCAGAGGGUGGUAGUCCAGCUGGCAUGAGAAUUUCAUGAGGACUGAGCUGAGAGCUGUGCAGAGCUAGAUCGGAGUGAAGGCUGCGGAGGCCUGGGGAGGGACAGGAUGCUGCUGAUUCCUGGGAACAAGAGGACUUCCUCUCUGAGUGACCACCAGGGGCUGCUGACCCAGUAUUUCGGACCCCAGAAAUCCAGAGUCCAGG
Molecule: long non-coding RNA, 527 nt
Organism: Suricata suricatta (meerkat)
Lineage: Eukaryota; Metazoa; Chordata; Mammalia; Carnivora; Herpestidae
Exons: 5
Source: RefSeq, a predicted model, not a curated record